UAAAAUCCAAUGUUUCGUGUCUUCAUGUGU
Molecule: non-coding RNA, 30 nt
Filed under: Mus musculus (house mouse)
Lineage: Eukaryota; Metazoa; Chordata; Mammalia; Rodentia; Muridae
Source: RNAcentral